This 685-nucleotide ribosomal RNA is filed under the name uncultured Bacteroidales bacterium. Its description in RNAcentral is "bacterial SSU rRNA". It matches the Rfam family "Bacterial small subunit ribosomal RNA", at positions 57 to 732 of the family's 1533-position model. The record is from RNAcentral. Lineage: Bacteria; Pseudomonadati; Bacteroidota; Bacteroidia; Bacteroidales.
GCAAGUCGAGGGGCAUCAGGAAGAAAGCUUGCUUUCUUUGCUGGCGACCGGCGCACGGGUGAGUAACACGUAUCCAACCUGCCCUUUACUCGGGGAUAGCCUUUCGAAAGAAAGAUUAAUACCCGAUGGGAUAAUCAUUCCGCAUGGUUUGAUUAUUAAAGGAUUCCGGUAAAGGAUGGGGAUGCGUUCCAUUAGGUUGUUGGUGAGGUAACGGCCCACCAAGCCUUCGAUGGAUAGGGGUUCUGAGAGGAAGGUCCCCCACAUUGGAACUGAGACACGGUCCAAACUCCUACGGGAGGCAGCAGUGAGGAAUAUUGGUCAAUGGGCGAUGGCCUGAACCAGCCAAGUAGCGUGAAGGAUGACUGCCCUAUGGGUUGUAAACUUCUUUUAUAUUAGAAUAAAGUGCAGUAUGUAUACUGUUUUGUAUGUAUAAUAUGAAUAAGGAUCGGCUAACUCCGUGCCAGCAGCCGCGGUAAUACCGGAGGAUCCGAGCGUUAUCCGGAUUUAUUGGGUUUAAAGGGAGCGUAGGUGGACUGGUAAGUCAGUUGUGAAAGUUUGCGGCUCAACCGUAAAAUUGCAGUUGAUACUGUCAGUCUUGAGUACAGUAGAGGUGGGCGGAAUUCGUGGUGUAGCGGUGAAAUGCUUAGAUAUCACGAAGACUCCGAUUGCGAAGGCAGCUCACUGG